AUGCAAGAAAUCGUGUGUGGGUGUGCGGGUAAACCUGGGGUGGAGAACACAAGGUCAUGUCGAUGCGAGUGCCCUGCCUUAAUAAGACUGCUCCGACCAAAGGACAAUGAUUGGUACAUAGCAGAGCAUCAUGAACAGCACAACUAUUCAUUGUCUCCGACAUAUUGUCAGACAAUACACUGGCCGUCGCACAAGCAUAUUGAUGCGUACAGUGGGGACUCGGUGGAGCAGUUGCGGCAGAACAAUGUGAACCUGGCAAAAGUGCACAGCAUCAUCGGGAGUUUUUUUGGUUCAGUGGAGAAGGUACCUUUCACAAAAAGAGCUCUGAAGAAUUUGUGUGGCAAAAUCAGCAGAGAGCAGGCAGAGGACGAUGUUAGGAAAACUAUGGAGGUUUUUGCAGAAUUGGGUUCACAAGAUCCACAUUUCACAUACCGAGUCCAGGCAGACAAAGAUGGUCGGAUAACCACUCUUAUGUGGGAAAAUGGGAGCAGCAGACUGCAGUACACAUUCUUCGAAGACGUUGUUACCUUCGAUACGACGUACAGAACAAACUUGUACAACAUGCCCUUUGGCCUCUUUGUCGGUGUGAAUAACCAUUUUCAGAGCAUCAUCCUAGCCGGGGUUUUGGUUCGUGACGAAAAAGUUGAGACCUUUGAGUGGGUUUUCACAGAGUUCGUUAGGAUGAUGGGUGGAAGUGCCCCUAAGAAAAUUCUAACCGAUCAUAACCGUUCGGUGGAGGUCGCCAUAAAAAAUGUGAUGCCGCAGAUAGAGCACUGA
Molecule: ribosomal RNA, 777 nt
Filed under: Triticum aestivum (bread wheat)
Lineage: Eukaryota; Viridiplantae; Streptophyta; Magnoliopsida; Poales; Poaceae
Description: partial small subunit ribosomal RNA
Source: RNAcentral